GCUAGUGGCAAACGGGUGAGUAACGCGUGGGAACCUACCUUUUAGUACGGAAUAGCCUCGGGAAACUGGGUUUAAUACCGUAUGCGCUCUACGGAGGAAAGAUUUAUCGCUAAAAGAUGGGCCCGCGUUAGAUUAGUUUGUUGGUGAGGUAAUGGCUCACCAAGACUGCGAUCUAUAGCUGGUUUGAGAGGAUGAUCAGCCACACUGGGACUGAGACACGGCCCAGACUCC
This 231-nucleotide ribosomal RNA is filed under the name uncultured bacterium. Its description in RNAcentral is "partial 16S ribosomal RNA". It matches the Rfam family "Bacterial small subunit ribosomal RNA", at positions 91 to 339 of the family's 1533-position model. The record is from RNAcentral.